RNAcentral lists this transfer RNA (65 nucleotides) under Dipodomys ordii (Ord's kangaroo rat). It matches the Rfam family "tRNA". From Rfam's summary of the family: Transfer RNA (tRNA) molecules are approximately 80 nucleotides in length. Their secondary structure includes four short double-helical elements and three loops (D, anti-codon, and T loops). Further hydrogen bonds mediate the characteristic L-shaped molecular structure. tRNAs have two regions of fundamental functional importance: the anti-codon, which is responsible for specific mRNA codon recognition, and the 3' end, to which the tRNAs corresponding amino acid is attached (by aminoacyl-tRNA synthetases). tRNAs cope with the degeneracy of the genetic code in two manners: having more than one tRNA (with a specific anti-codon) for a particular amino acid; and 'wobble' base-pairing, i.e. permitting non-standard base-pairing at the 3rd anti-codon position. The record is from Rfam by way of RNAcentral. Lineage: Eukaryota; Metazoa; Chordata; Mammalia; Rodentia; Heteromyidae.
GGUGGCUCAGUGGUAGAGUGCUUGCCUAGCAUGCAGGAGGUUCUGGGUUCGAUUCCUCAGCACCA